RNAcentral lists this ribosomal RNA (503 nucleotides) under uncultured bacterium. RNAcentral describes it as "partial 16S ribosomal RNA". It matches the Rfam family "Bacterial small subunit ribosomal RNA", at positions 30 to 523 of the family's 1533-position model. The record is from RNAcentral.
AUUGAACGCUGGCGGCAGGCUUAACACAUGCAAGUCGAGCGGAGUGAUGGUGCUUGCACUAUCACUUAGCGGCGGACGGGUGAGUAAUGCUUAGGAAUCUGCCUAUUAGUGGGGGACAACAUCUCGAAAGGGAUGCUAAUACCGCAUACGUCCUACGGGAGAAAGCAGGGGAUCACUUGUGACCUUGCGCUAAUAGAUGAGCCUAAGUCGGAUUAGCUAGUUGGUGGGGUAAAGGCCUACCAAGGCGACGAUCUGUAGCGGGUCUGAGAGGAUGAUCCGCCACACUGGGACUGAGACCCGGCCCAGACUCCUACGGGAGGCAGCAGGGAGGAAUAUUGGACAAUGGGGGGAACCCUGAUCCAGCCAUGCCGCGUGUGUGAAGAAGGCCUUAUGGUUGUAAAGCACUUUAAGCGAGGAGGAGGCUCUUUUGGUUAAUACCCAAGAUGAGUGGACGUUACUCGCAGAAUAAGCACCGGCUAACUCUGUGCCAGCAGCCGCGGUAA